This is a transfer RNA of Penicillium coprophilum, 72 nucleotides long. It matches the Rfam family "tRNA". Rfam says of the family: Transfer RNA (tRNA) molecules are approximately 80 nucleotides in length. Their secondary structure includes four short double-helical elements and three loops (D, anti-codon, and T loops). The record is from Rfam. Lineage: Eukaryota; Fungi; Ascomycota; Eurotiomycetes; Eurotiales; Aspergillaceae.
GGGGCUGUGGCGCAACGGUAGCGCGUGCGACUCCAGUUCGCAAGGUUAUCCGUUCAAAUCGGGUCAGCCUCA